CGCUCAUCCAGAGGGACUGAGGGAACGGCCCGUUGAAGUCCCGGCAACCCUCCCGCCGACCGUUGAGGUCACGGUGGGGAAGGUGCCAAUUCCGUCUUGUGGCGAAAUGCGUCGCAAGGAAGAUGAGGA
RNAcentral lists this non-coding RNA (129 nucleotides) under Streptomyces sp. RNAcentral describes it as "SAM-I sequence". It matches the Rfam family "SAM riboswitch aptamer (S box leader)". From Rfam's summary of the family: The SAM riboswitch is found upstream of a number of genes which code for proteins involved in methionine or cysteine biosynthesis in Gram-positive bacteria. The SAM riboswitch acts at the level of transcription termination control. The record is from RNAcentral. RNAcentral also lists the same sequence under 1 other name. Lineage: Bacteria; Bacillati; Actinomycetota; Actinomycetes; Kitasatosporales; Streptomycetaceae.